This is a long non-coding RNA of Sebastes umbrosus (honeycomb rockfish), 1180 nucleotides long. RefSeq lists it as uncharacterized. The transcript has 3 exons. The record is from RefSeq and is a predicted model, not a curated record. Lineage: Eukaryota; Metazoa; Chordata; Actinopteri; Perciformes; Sebastidae.
AUUUUUGUAUUUUAAAACAAAAAUCAAAUAACUUUAAUAUCCAUUUUUUGAAAGGAAAAUCGAAUGACCAAAAGAUACACUGACCCUCCUCCCUUGCCGGAUUGUGCUCCGGCUGUAGGAAAAGGAGCGCACUCUGUGAGUGUUGAAACGACAUGUUUGAGUCAUGUUUCGGUGCAGUGAUUGGUCCAGCUCAGAGUCUGAGGGAACCAAUGAGCAGCGUGACUCACCUGCACAGGUGGAAACUAUAAUCACCCUGAUUGAGGAACCACGAGAGAAGCACGAGGGAGGAAAACACAAGAGGCACCAAACGGAUGACAUCUGAAAGUGAAACAAGUUCAGCUGCUACUUGAGCAAACUCAACAAAACAGAGCAUUUCACCCCAAACUUUUUUAUCUCUGUAUUCUUUUCUUUACAUAUUUAUUCCCCGUCAUGAUGCACACGCCUGUUGAUGUGCUGAAGAAACUGUAGAAUAAUAAAUUGUGAUGUGCACAUAAGUACGGAGGAGUUCUGUGGUUCUUUAACAUCAGUGAUGACGGUGGCACAAAAUGUAGCAGAUCUGCCAUGCGUAAUUUUUCUUUUUUUUUGGAUGGAAGGGAUGCCUGCUGCCAUCAGACUUCACUAUAAAGUGUAUACUCACUGAAUUCUGUCUGGUGGUUUUUCAUCAUUUCUAUUUGAUUAAAUGGAUUCCUGAGAUGGCACAUUCUGUUACAGCUACACAUGGACAGAAAUUAAUUUGCAAACAUUAAUUAGUUUAAGUGUAAUUAAUUGUUGCGGCAGCAACACUAACUUUAUUCUACAACAUGGUUUUUCAACCAGCGGUUAUGACAUCAUUGCCAACUAUAGAAUAAAGCUCUGUCUGUCAUGACAGUUAGUAGCCUACUACUGAAGCCCUUUCCUUGUCUCUCUUUACAGCCAUCUGAUGGCAGCAGGUAUCCGAUCCAACUAAAGAAUAAAUCACGCCGGGCAAAUCUUAAACAUUUUGUGCCACCAGAAGCAGACUGUUGUUAAAUAACCACAGAACCCCUCCGUACUUAUGUGCACAUCAAAAGUGUUGUUUUGAUUAAAGCUGCAGUAGGCAGACAGUUUUAAGCAUCAUUGUGCAAAAAUUCCAUAAUAACCUUUCAGCAUAUUGUAAUUCAAGUGUUCUGACAGAAAACUAGACUUAUGCACCUCCACCUAA